Molecule: ribosomal RNA, 499 nt
Filed under: Cladosporium sphaerospermum
Lineage: Eukaryota; Fungi; Ascomycota; Dothideomycetes; Cladosporiales; Cladosporiaceae
Description: eukaryotic LSU rRNA
Rfam family: 5.8S ribosomal RNA (bases 136-289)
Source: RNAcentral
GCGGGAUGUUCACAACCCUUUGUUGUCCGACUCUGUUGCCUCCGGGGCGACCCUGCCUCCGGGCGGGGGCCCCGGGUGGACAUUUCAAACUCUUGCGUAACUUUGCAGUCUGAGUAAAUUUAAUUAAUAAAUUAAAACUUUCAACAACGGAUCUCUUGGUUCUGGCAUCGAUGAAGAACGCAGCGAAAUGCGAUAAGUAAUGUGAAUUGCAGAAUUCAGUGAAUCAUCGAAUCUUUGAACGCACAUUGCGCCCCCUGGUAUUCCGGGGGGCAUGCCUGUUCGAGCGUCAUUUCACCACUCAAGCCUCGCUUGGUAUUGGGCGACGCGGUCCGCCGCGCGCCUCAAAUCGACCGGCUGGGUCUUUCGUCCCCUCAGCGUUGUGGAAACUAUUCGCUAAAGGGUGCCGCGGGAGGCCACGCCGUAAAACAACCCCAUUUCUAAGGUUGACCUCGGAUCAGGUAGGGAUACCCGCUGAACUUAAGCAUAUCAAUAAGCGGGG